This 396-nucleotide ribosomal RNA is filed under the name uncultured bacterium. RNAcentral's name for it is "partial 16S ribosomal RNA". It matches the Rfam family "Bacterial small subunit ribosomal RNA", at positions 523 to 918 of the family's 1533-position model. The record is from RNAcentral.
AUACGUAGGGGACAAGCGUUAUCCGGAUUUACUGGGUGUAAAGGGAGCGUAGGCGGCCAGCCAAGUCAGAAGUGAAAUCCCACGGCUCAACUGUGGGCGUGCUUUUGAAACUGGAGGGCUUGAGCACUGGAGGGGCAAGCGGAAUUCCUGGUGUAGCGGUGAAAUGCAUAGAUAUCAGGAAGAACACCGGAGGCGAAGGCGGCUUGCUGGACAGAGACUGACGCUGAGGCUCGAAGGCGUGGGGAGCAAACAGGAUUAGAUACCCUGGUAGUCCACGCGGUAAACGAUGAAUGCUAGGUAUUGGGUUCCAUAGGGACUCGGUGCCGCAGUUAACGCAAUAAGCAUUCCACCUGGGGAGUACGUUCGCAAGAAUGAAACUCAAAUGAAUUGACGGGG